RNAcentral lists this ribosomal RNA (173 nucleotides) under uncultured bacterium. RNAcentral describes it as "partial 16S ribosomal RNA". It matches the Rfam family "Bacterial small subunit ribosomal RNA", at positions 1320 to 1500 of the family's 1533-position model. The record is from RNAcentral.
GUGAAGCUGGAUUCGCUAGUAAUCGCGCAUCAGCCACGGCGCGGUGAAUACGUUCCCGGGCCUUGUACACACCGCCCGUCAAGCCAUGGGAGCCGGGGGUGCCUGAAGUGCGUGACCGCAAGGAGCGCCCUAGGGUAAAACCGGUGACUGGGGCUAAGUCGUAACAAGGUACC